AGAGUUUGAUUCUGGCUCAGAACGAACGCUGGCGGCGUGGAUAAGACAUGCAAGUCGAACGAGAAACUUUUGGAGCUUGCUUUGGAAGUUUCUAGUGGCGAACGGGUGCGUAACACGUGAGUAACCUGCCCAAGAGAGGGGGAUAGCUCGAGGAAACUCGAAUUAAUACCUGAAAAGACUAAAGGUGGGGAUCUUAGGACCUGCCGCUCUUGGAUGGACUCGCGGCCUAUCAGCUUGUUGGUGAGGUAACGGCUCACCAAGGCUACGACGGGUAACUGGUCUGAGAGGACGACCAGUCACACUGGAACUGAGACACGGUCCAGACACCUACGGGUGGCAGCAGUCGAGAAUCAUUCGCAAUGGACGAAAGUCUGACGGUGCGACGCCGCGUGGAGGAUGACGGCCCUAGGGUUGUAAACUCCUGUCAUCAGAGAGUAAGGUUUUUGGGUUAACAGCCCGGACAGUUUGAUAGUAGCUGAAGAGGAAGAGACGGCUAACUCUGUGCCAGCAGCCGCGGUAAUACAGAGGUCUCAAGCGUUGUUCGGAAUCACUGGGCGUAAAGCGUGUGUAGGCGGCUUGGUAAGUCAGAUGUGAAAUCUCCGGGCUCAACCCGGAAACUGCAUCCGAUACUGCCAGGCUUGAGUAGUGGAGGGGAGUCUGGAAUUCACGGUGUAGCAGUGAAAUGCGUAGAUAUCGUGAGGAACACUAGUGGCGAAGGCGAGACUCUGGACACUUACUGACGCUGAGACACGAAGGCUAGGGUAGCGAAAGGGAUUAGAUACCCCGGUAGUCCUAGCAGUAAACGGUGCACGUUUGGUGUGGGGGGAUUCGACCCCCUCCGUGCCGGAGCUAACGCGUUAAGCGCGCCGCCUGGGGAGUACGGCCGCAAGGCUAAAACUCAAAGAAAUUGACGGGGACCCGCACAAGCGGUGGAGUAUGUGGCUUAAUUCGAUGCAACGCGAAGAACCUUACCUGGGCUUGACAUGCUUAUCGUAGUUUCCCGAAAGGGUUACGUCAGCUCGGCUGGAUUUGCACAGGUGCUGCAUGGCUGUCGUCAGCUCGUGUCGUGAGAUGUUGGGUUAAGUCCCGCAACGAGCGCAACCCCUGUGAAUAGUUGCCAGCACAUAAUGGUGGGGACUCUAUUCAGACUGCCCAGAUCAACUGGGAGGAAGGUGGGGACGACGUCAAGUCAGUAUGGCCCUUACGCCCAGGGCUGCACACGUACUACAAUGCCCAGUACAAUGUGAACCGAUACCGCGAGGUGGAGGAAAUCCUUAAAACUGGGCUCAGUUCGGAUUGGAGGCUGCAACUCGCCUCCAUGAAGUCGGAAUCGCUAGUAAUGGCGCAUCAGCUACGGCGCCGUGAAUACGUUCCCGGGUCUUGUACACGCCGCCCGUCACAUCAUGGAAGCCGCUCGUACCCGAAGUGUCUGUGCCAACAAG
RNAcentral lists this ribosomal RNA (1442 nucleotides) under uncultured prokaryote. Its description in RNAcentral is "partial 16S ribosomal RNA". It matches the Rfam family "Bacterial small subunit ribosomal RNA". The record is from RNAcentral.